UGGGGGAUAUUGCACAAUGGGCGAAAGCCUGAUGCAGCGACGCCGCGUGGGGGAUGAAGGCCUUCGGGUUGUAAACUUCUUUUGCUCUGAACAAGGCAUGCCUUUGGGGUGUGUUGAGUGUAGGGGUUGAUUAGCGCCGGCUAACUCCGUGCCAGCAGCCGCGGUAAUACGUAGGGCGCGAGCGUUGUCCGGAAUUAUUGGGCGUAAAGGGCUUGUAGGUGGCUGGUUGCGUCUGUCGUGAAAGCUCAUGGCUUAACUGUGGGUUUGCGGUGGGUACGGGCUGGCUUGAGUGCAGUAGGGGAGGCUGGAAUUCCUGGUGUAGCGGUGGAAUGCGCAGAUAUCAGGAGGAAUACCGGUGGCGAAGGCGGGUCUCUGGGCUGUUACUGACGCUGAGGAGCGAAAGCGUGGGGAGCGAACAGG
Molecule: ribosomal RNA, 420 nt
Filed under: Fusobacteriota bacterium
Lineage: Bacteria; Fusobacteriati; Fusobacteriota
Description: Fusobacteria bacterium partial 16S ribosomal RNA
Rfam family: Bacterial small subunit ribosomal RNA
Source: RNAcentral